AGCCCGCUCAGAAACUUAAAUGAAUUCGACGGGGGCCCGCACAAGCGGUGGAGCAUGUGGUUUAAUUCGAUGGUACGCGAGGAACCUUACCAGGGCUUGACAUACGUUGGAAGCGCAUCGAAAGGUGCGUGCCGCUUGCGGCCGGCGUACAGGUGCUGCAUGGCUGUCGUCAGCUCGUGCUGUGAAGUGUUGGGUUAAGUCCCACAACGAGCGCAACCCCUGCUGCCUGUUGCCACCACGAGAGGUGGGGACUCAGGCGGGACCGCCGGUGACAAACCGGAGGAAGGUGGGGACGACGUCAAGUCAUCAUGGCCCUUAUGUCCUGGGCUACACACGUGCUACAAUGGCCGGUACAGAGCGCAGCGAGGCCGCGAGGCGGAGCGAAUCGCUUAAAGCCGGUCCCAGUACGGAUUGGAGUCUGCAACCCGACUCCAUGAAGUUGGAAUCGCUAGUAAUCGCGCAUCAGCAUGGCGCGGUGAAUACGUUCCCGGGCCUU
Molecule: ribosomal RNA, 496 nt
Filed under: uncultured Spirochaeta sp.
Lineage: Bacteria; Pseudomonadati; Spirochaetota; Spirochaetia; Spirochaetales; Spirochaetaceae
Description: bacterial SSU rRNA
Rfam family: Bacterial small subunit ribosomal RNA
Source: RNAcentral